Molecule: non-coding RNA, 338 nt
Organism: Erinaceus europaeus (western European hedgehog)
Lineage: Eukaryota; Metazoa; Chordata; Mammalia; Eulipotyphla; Erinaceidae
Source: Rfam
AGCUGUGAGGGUGAUCUGGCUGCAACUUCUGUCACCCCACUGAUAGCCAGGGUUGAUUCGGCUGAUCCGGCUGGCUAGGUGGGUGUUCCCUUCCUCCCUCACCGCUCCAUGUGUGUCCCUCCCAAAGCUGCGUGCACGGUGGAAGAGGACGUCCUUCCCCGAAUAGAGAUGGACCAGUCUUCGGUCGAGGGUAUACGAGUAGCUGAGCUCCCCUGCUAGAACCUCUAAACAAGCUCUCAAAGGUUUAACACAGAAAUUCUACCUUUCUAAAAGAUAUGAUUUAUACUCAAGUAUAUUUUAAUGAGAAAUCCACUUACAAAACUAAAAAUGUGCUAGGU